Molecule: ribosomal RNA, 253 nt
Filed under: uncultured bacterium
Lineage: Bacteria
Description: partial 16S ribosomal RNA
Rfam family: Bacterial small subunit ribosomal RNA
Source: RNAcentral
UACAGAGGGUGCAAGCGUUGUUCGGAAUUAUUGGGCGUAAAGGGCGCGUAGGCGGUGCCACAAGUCACCUGUGAAAUCUCCGGGCUUAACUCGGAGCCUGCAGGCGAAACUGUGGUGCUGGAGUGUGGGAGAGGUGCGUGGAAUUCCCGGUGUAGCGGUGAAAUGCGUAGAUAUCGGUAGGAACACCAGUGGCGAAGGCGGUCUCCUGGGGCAUUCUUGACGCUGAGGCGCGAAAGCUGGGGGAGCAAACGGG